GAUGAACGCUAGCGGCAGGCCUAACACAUGCAAGUCGAGGGGUAGGGUUAGCUUGCUAACUUGAGACCGGCGCACGGGUGCGUAACGCGUAUACAAUCUACCUUGUACAGAGGGAUAGCCCAGAGAAAUUUGGAUUAAUACCUCAUAGUAUCUUUACCUGGCAUCGGGUAAUUAUUAAAGUUCCAACGGUACAAGAUGUGCAUGCGUCCCAUUAGUUAGUUGGUAAGGUAACGGCUUACCAAGACAAUGAUGGGUAGGGGUCCUGAGAGGGAGAUCCCCCCACACUGGUACUGAGACACGGACCAGACUCCUACGGGAGGCAGCAGUGAGGAAUAUUGGUCAAUGGACGCAAGUCUGAACCAGCCAUGCCGCGUGCAGGAAGACGGUCCUAUGGAUUGUAAACUGCUUUUUAUACAGGAAGAAACAACUCUACGUGUAGAGUCUUGACGGUACUGUAGGAAUAAGGAUCGGCUAACUCCGUGCCAGCAGCCGCGGU
RNAcentral lists this ribosomal RNA (496 nucleotides) under uncultured bacterium. RNAcentral's name for it is "bacterial SSU rRNA". It matches the Rfam family "Bacterial small subunit ribosomal RNA", at positions 28 to 521 of the family's 1533-position model. The record is from RNAcentral.